This 200-nucleotide ribosomal RNA is filed under the name Pseudomonas syringae pv. syringae. RNAcentral's name for it is "partial 23S ribosomal RNA". It matches the Rfam family "Bacterial large subunit ribosomal RNA", at positions 2748 to 2925 of the family's 2925-position model. Lineage: Bacteria; Pseudomonadati; Pseudomonadota; Gammaproteobacteria; Pseudomonadales; Pseudomonadaceae. The record is from RNAcentral.
GCUAUGUUCGGAAAAGAUAACCGCUGAAAGCAUCUAAGCGGGAAACUUGCCUCAAGAUGAGAUCUCACUGGAACCUUGAGUUCCCUGAAGGGCCGUCGAAGACUACGACGUUGAUAGGUUGGGUGUGUAAGCGCUGUGAGGCGUUGAGCUAACCAAUACUAAUUGCCCGUGAGGCUUGACCAUAUAACACCCAAGCAAUU